UACAGAGGGGGCAAGCGUUAAUCGGAAUUCCUGGGCGUAAGGCGUGCGUCGACGGUCAUGUAAGUCGGGUGUGAAAGCCCCGGGCUCAACCUGGGAAUUGCAUUCGAGACUGCAUGGCUAGGGUGCGGAAGAGGGAAGCGGAAUUUCCGGUGUAGCGGUGAAAUGCGUAGAUAUCGGAAGGAACACCAGUGGCGAAAGCGGCUUCCUGGUCCAGCACCGACGUUCAGGCACGAAAGCGUGGGGAGCGAACAGG
This 253-nucleotide ribosomal RNA is filed under the name uncultured bacterium. Its description in RNAcentral is "partial 16S ribosomal RNA". It matches the Rfam family "Bacterial small subunit ribosomal RNA", at positions 524 to 776 of the family's 1533-position model. The record is from RNAcentral.